GAUGAACGCUGGCUGCGUGCCUAAUACAUGCAAGUCGAGCGAACAGACGAGGAGCUUGCUCCUCUGACGUUAGCGGCGGACGGGUGAGUAACACGUGGAUAACCUACCUAUAAGACUGGGAUAACUUCGGGAAACCGGAGCUAAUACCGGAUAAUAUAUUGAACCGCAUGGUUCAAUAGUGAAAGACGGUUUUGCUGUCACUUAUAGAUGGAUCCGCGCCGCAUUAGCUAGUUGGUAAGGUAACGGCUUACCAAGGCAACGAUGCGUAGCCGACCUGAGAGGGUGAUCGGCCACACUGGAACUGAGACACGGUCCAGACUCCUACGGGAGGCAGCAGUAGGGAAUCUUCCGCAAUGGGCGAAAGCCUGACGGAGCAACGCCGCGUGAGUGAUGAAGGUCUUCGGAUCGUAAAACUCUGUUAUUAGGGAAGAACAAAUGUGUAAGUAACUAUGCACGUCUUGACGGUACCUAAUCAGAAAGCCACGGCUAACUACGUG
RNAcentral lists this ribosomal RNA (497 nucleotides) under uncultured bacterium. RNAcentral describes it as "partial 16S ribosomal RNA". It matches the Rfam family "Bacterial small subunit ribosomal RNA", at positions 28 to 507 of the family's 1533-position model. The record is from RNAcentral.